GCAAAGGUAGCAUAAUCAAUAGUCUCUUAAUUGGAGGCUUGAAUGAAAGGUUUGACGGAAAGAAUACUGUCUCAAUAAUUUAUAUUGAAUUUAACUUUUGUGUGAAAAGGCAUUAAUAAUUUAGAGGGACGAUAAGACCCUAUAAAACUUUACAUAUGUUAUGUUAUCUAUUAGAGUUGAUUAAUAAUUAUAGGAUGACUAAGUUUGUUUUGCUGGGGCGGCAUGAAUAUAAUUUUUAACUGUUUUUAAAAUGAAAUGCUGAUAAGCAGAUUUUGGUCCUUCAUUGAGGAGAUAAGAGUAAGUUACUUU
This 309-nucleotide ribosomal RNA is filed under the name Synalpheus hemphilli. RNAcentral's name for it is "partial 16S ribosomal RNA". Lineage: Eukaryota; Metazoa; Arthropoda; Malacostraca; Decapoda; Alpheidae. The record is from RNAcentral.